AGACAAGGGACACAAGAAGCUGAGCUGCUUCAGCCUCAAAAGCUAAUCACAAUAAAAAAAACCCUGGACAACAUAUGUAAGUCUUUCACCUGAAGACUCCGAAAGAUAGAGAAAAGAAAGCUGACUGGCUGGAGAUCUCAGGAAUAGAAAAACCACCUGGGGAAUUGGAAAUAAUUGGAUACCCCCUUGGAUACUGCAAUGGGACUGCAGGGAAUAGCUGCAGAAGAGAAUACAGUGAAGCACUGCCCCCUGGUGGUCAUAAUAUUCAACGGGGAAUAAUAACUGUAAUACCUAAGGAUU
Long non-coding RNA from Trichechus manatus latirostris (Florida manatee), 300 nucleotides. RefSeq lists it as uncharacterized. The transcript has 3 exons. The record is from RefSeq and is a predicted model, not a curated record. NCBI's taxonomy places the organism in Eukaryota, Metazoa, Chordata, Mammalia, Sirenia, Trichechidae.